UCCGAGUUGACCCCGGCAGUCUCCUAUGAGUUCCCGCCAUUACGCGCUGGCAACAUAGAACGAGGGUUGCGCUCGUUGCGGGACUUAACCCAACAUCUCACGACACGAGCUGACGACAACCAUGCACCACCUGUUCACGAGUGUCCAAAGAGUUGACCAUUUCUGGCCCGUUCUCGUGUAUGUCAAGCCUUGGUAAGGUUCUUCGCGUUGCAUCGAAUUAAUCCGCAUGCUCCGCCGCUUGUGCGGGCCCCCGUCAAUUCCUUUGAGUUUUAGCCUUGCGGCCGUACUCCCCAGGCGGGGAACUUAAUGCGUUAGCUGCGACACAGAACCCGUUGAUAAGGCCCCACACCUAGUGCCCAACGUUUACGGCGUGGACUAC
RNAcentral lists this unclassified non-coding RNA (379 nucleotides) under uncultured Microbacteriaceae bacterium. Its description in RNAcentral is "contains 16S-23S intergenic spacer region". The record is from RNAcentral. Lineage: Bacteria; Bacillati; Actinomycetota; Actinomycetes; Micrococcales; Microbacteriaceae.